CGCCGCGUGAGUGAUGAAGGUUUUCGGAUCGUAAAACUCUGUUGUAAGGGAAGAACAAGUACGUUAGGAAAUGAACGUACCUUGACGGUACCUUAUUAGAAAGCCACGGCUAACUACGUGCCAGCAGCCGCGGUAAUACGUAGGUGGCAAGCGUUGUCCGGAUUUAUUGGGCGUAAAGCGCGCGCAGGUGGUUUCUUAAGUCUGAUGUGAAAGCCCACGGCUCAACCGUGGAGGGUCAUUGGAAACUGGGAGACUUGAGUGCAGAAGAGGAAAGUGGAAUUCCAAGUGUAGCGGUGAAAUGCGUAGAGAUUUGGAGGAACACCAGUGGCGAAGGCGACUUUCUGGUCUGUAACUGACGCUGAGGCGCGAAAGCAUGGGGAGCAAACAGGAUUAGAUACCCUGGUAGUCCAUGCCGUAAACGAUGAGUGCUAAGUGUUAGGGGGUUUCCGCCCCUUAGUGCUGCAGCUAACGCAUUAAGCACUCCGCCUGGGGAGUACGACCGCAAGGUUGAAACUCAAAGGAAUUGACGGGGGCCCGCACAAGCGGUGGAGCAUGUGGUUUAAUUCGAAGCAACGCGAAGAACCUUACCAGGUCUUGACAUCCCAAUGACCGCUCUAGAGAUAGAGUUUUCCCUUCGGGGACAUUGGUGACAGGUGGUGCAUGGUUGUCGUCAGCUCGUGUCGUGAGAUGUUGGGUUAAGUCCCGCAACGAGCGCAACCCUUAAUCUUAGUU
Molecule: ribosomal RNA, 732 nt
Filed under: uncultured bacterium
Lineage: Bacteria
Description: bacterial SSU rRNA
Rfam family: Bacterial small subunit ribosomal RNA
Source: RNAcentral